This 363-nucleotide transfer-messenger RNA is filed under the name Salmonella enterica subsp. enterica serovar Rubislaw. It matches the Rfam family "transfer-messenger RNA". Rfam says of the family: Bacterial tmRNA, also known as 10Sa RNA or SsrA, is named for its dual tRNA and mRNA-like properties. Its role is to liberate the mRNA from a stalled ribosome. RNAcentral also lists the same sequence under 1 other name. Lineage: Bacteria; Pseudomonadati; Pseudomonadota; Gammaproteobacteria; Enterobacterales; Enterobacteriaceae. The record is from RNAcentral.
GGGGCUGAUUCUGGAUUCGACGGGAUUUGCGAAACCCAAGGUGCAUGCCGAGGGGCGGUUGGCCUCGUAAAAAGCCGCAAAAAAAUAGUCGCAAACGACGAAAACUACGCUUUAGCAGCUUAAUAACCUGCUUAGAGCCCUCUCUCCCUAGCCUCCGCUCUUAGGACGGGGAUCAAGAGAGGUCAAACCCAAAAGAGAUCGCGCGGAUGCCCUGCCUGGGGUUGAAGCGUUAAAACGAAUCAGGCUAGUCUGGUAGUGGCGUGUCCUUCCGCAGGUGCCAGGCGAAUGUAAAGACUGACUAAGCAUGUAGUACCGAGGAUGUAGGAAUUUCGGACGCGGGUUCAACUCCCGCCAGCUCCACCA